RNAcentral lists this ribosomal RNA (1102 nucleotides) under Staphylococcus aureus VET0363R. Its description in RNAcentral is "bacterial SSU rRNA". It matches the Rfam family "Bacterial small subunit ribosomal RNA", at positions 8 to 1089 of the family's 1533-position model. The record is from RNAcentral. Lineage: Bacteria; Bacillati; Bacillota; Bacilli; Caryophanales; Staphylococcaceae.
AGAGUUUGAUCCUGGCUCAGGAUGAACGCUGGCGGCGUGCCUAAUACAUGCAAGUCGAGCGAACGGACGAGAAGCUUGCUUCUCUGAUGUUAGCGGCGGACGGGUGAGUAACACGUGGAUAACCUACCUAUAAGACUGGGAUAACUUCGGGAAACCGGAGCUAAUACCGGAUAAUAUUUUGAACCGCAUGGUUCAAAAGUGAAAGACGGUCUUGCUGUCACUUAUAGAUGGAUCCGCGCUGCAUUAGCUAGUUGGUAAGGUAACGGCUUACCAAGGCAACGAUGCAUAGCCGACCUGAGAGGGUGAUCGGCCACACUGGAACUGAGACACGGUCCAGACUCCUACGGGAGGCAGCAGUAGGGAAUCUUCCGCAAUGGGCGAAAGCCUGACGGAGCAACGCCGCGUGAGUGAUGAAGGUCUUCGGAUCGUAAAACUCUGUUAUUAGGGAAGAACAUAUGUGUAAGUAACUGUGCACAUCUUGACGGUACCUAAUCAGAAAGCCACGGCUAACUACGUGCCAGCAGCCGCGGUAAUACGUAGGUGGCAAGCGUUAUCCGGAAUUAUUGGGCGUAAAGCGCGCGUAGGCGGUUUUUUAAGUCUGAUGUGAAAGCCCACGGCUCAACCGUGGAGGGUCAUUGGAAACUGGAAAACUUGAGUGCAGAAGAGGAAAGUGGAAUUCCAUGUGUAGCGGUGAAAUGCGCAGAGAUAUGGAGGAACACCAGUGGCGAAGGCGACUUUCUGGUCUGUAACUGACGCUGAUGUGCGAAAGCGUGGGGAUCAAACAGGAUUAGAUACCCUGGUAGUCCACGCCGUAAACGAUGAGUGCUAAGUGUUAGGGGGUUUCCGCCCCUUAGUGCUGCAGCUAACGCAUUAAGCACUCCGCCUGGGGAGUACGACCGCAAGGUUGAAACUCAAAGGAAUUGACGGGGACCCGCACAAGCGGUGGAGCAUGUGGUUUAAUUCGAAGCAACGCGAAGAACCUUACCAAAUCUUGACAUCCUUUGACAACUCUAGAGAUAGAGCCUUCCCCUUCGGGGGACAAAGUGACAGGUGGUGCAUGGUUGUCGUCAGCUCGUGUCGUGAGAUGUUGGGUUAAGUCCCG